AAGGACUUUAAUUUUCAGGAUGCUUUGGAAGUGGAUUUCUGUUCUGCUGCUGCUGCAGAUAAGUUGCUGCUUCAGAUCUGCAAAACAUUUAGGGAGAAGAAAUGGGGUCAGUUUUACAGCGAAACUUUAGGCAAAAGAAGAAAGAAAGAUUAGCUACAAACUACCAUGACCCUGGGAAUCCUGGGCAGGGUGCAAAAUAUGUUGUGACAUUUGUACCUGGAAUGUAUGUUUAUGUUUGCAGAGUGUCAUUCGAAGAUUUAGAGAGAAGUAAAAUGCAUACUUAUUCAUACAGUGGCUUUUUCAUUAACUAUGAGGAAAUCAUUAAAUUAAUGAGGAAACAUAUGACAAACCACCUUAACUGAGACAAUGGGCCAAGCAGGAAUGUGGCUUAUGAGAUCCUACUGGGAUUUGGAGUUUCCUCACCCAACCUUACCAAAUGUUGACUAUGUUGGAGGACUCCAUUGCAAACCUGCUAAACCCUUGCCUAAGGUAAAUACAUUCUUUUUUAUCUCUUUUUCAUUUCAUUUUAUUUAUUGUGAAAGUGAUUCUAUAUCUGUCAUUACCUUUUACUCCCCUUAAUACAGAUGUAUGGGAUGUGGAAUUAAGAGUCCUGCUAAGUAGGAAGUCAAUAAACUCAGGAAAGGACAUGAUAGAAUUGGGAAA
This 663-nucleotide long non-coding RNA is filed under the name Mus spicilegus (steppe mouse). RNAcentral describes it as "lncRNA (ENSMSIG00000000884.1)". The record is from RNAcentral. Lineage: Eukaryota; Metazoa; Chordata; Mammalia; Rodentia; Muridae.